This is a transfer RNA of Pseudomassariella vexata, 118 nucleotides long. It matches the Rfam family "tRNA". From Rfam's summary of the family: Transfer RNA (tRNA) molecules are approximately 80 nucleotides in length. Their secondary structure includes four short double-helical elements and three loops (D, anti-codon, and T loops). The record is from Rfam. Lineage: Eukaryota; Fungi; Ascomycota; Sordariomycetes; Amphisphaeriales; Pseudomassariaceae.
GGCAAGAUGGCCGAGCGGUCUAAGGCGAUGCACUCAAGAGAUCUUCUCUUAGCCCUACCUACAAUGGGCUCGUAUUGCAUUCUCGCAAGAGGCGUGGGUUCGAAUCCCACUCUUGUCA